AACGAACGCUGGCGGCAUGCCUAACACAUGCAAGUCGAACGAGACCUUCGGGUCUAGUGGCGCACGGGUGCGUAACGCGUGGGAACCUGCCCUUAGGUUCGGCAUAACUCCCCGAAAGGGGUGCUAAUACCGGAUAAUGUCUUCGGACCAAAGAUUUAUCGCCUUUGGAUGGGCUCGCGUUGGAUUAGCUAGUUGGUAGGGUAAAAGCCGACCAAGGCGACGAUCCAUAGCUGGUCUGAGAGGAUGAUCAGCCACACUGGGACUGAGACACGGCCCAGACUCCUACGGGAGGCAGCAGUGGGGAAUAUUGGACAAUGGGCGAAAGCCUGAUCCAGCAAUGCCGCGUGAGUGAUGAAGGCAUUAGGGUUGUAAAGCUCUUUUACCCGGGAUGAUAAUGACAGUACCGGGAGAAUAAGCCCCGGCUAACUCCGUG
RNAcentral lists this ribosomal RNA (433 nucleotides) under uncultured bacterium. Its description in RNAcentral is "partial 16S ribosomal RNA". It matches the Rfam family "Bacterial small subunit ribosomal RNA", at positions 29 to 507 of the family's 1533-position model. The record is from RNAcentral.